UAAUGGUACGAAGCUUUCUUGAUCCUACACAAAUAAAAAAAAAGCGAUCAUGAGCAUGUAAAUUUCUGACACUUGUCGCCUACUUAAUUUGGUAAUUUCUUAGUGAUUUCUAUGCAUGUGAUGUAUAAAUAUACAUCUAGUUCUAGGACUUGAUUUUGGUCUAUAGAAAUAGUUUUUGGGGAGGGGAAUGUGGAGUAUUGUGGUUAGUAUGGAGGAUUAUUGGAAGGAAGAUUCCGGUGGAGUGAAGCCGAAGCAUUCAUCGGGUGGGGGGUUACAAAUAUGGAGCGGUAUUAAGUAGUGUUGUACAUGUGUACGUUCCCCCUCAAGUGGUUGAAAGUUAUGAUCUGUUAGACGUAAAAUGUAUGGUCUUGUGAAGAAACCCUAAACACCAGAAGCGCAACGAAGCUGUUGCCAUGCGUGUACGACUCAGAUGCAUACUACGGGCACAUUCCGAACAGGUCCAGGUCAUCAUUAGUAAAAUUAUCAUCCCAUUACAAAUACGGGAAUACAAAUUGUUAGGGCCUCUUAUUUGAAUUUGCAAGUGUUGAAGUAAAAUGAAGAAGAUCUGAUGCUUAAUCAGAACAAAUGAAUAACAAGUCAAGAAAGGUUAAAACCAAUGAUGAUAAAAUGACAAUGAGAUGAUUCGACUUCGAUUAUUUGCAUCAGAGAAAGAUCAAGAGAUCUUUCCACAAAAGGAAGAAGAACAGACUAGGAAAAGACGAAAUCUGAUCUAUCUGAUGAUAAUAUGAUGAUUACAAUCUGACCCGGAUCAGAUCAGAUCAUCAAAUAUCUGAUGACCCCACCUGCCUGACAUGAUAAGGAUGGCAGACUUCAAGUUGGCAAAUGGAAGAUUUCGGAUACAAUGAAUAUGCCAAACGAUUACUUUCCAGAAGUCAACUACAUGAAUAAACAAAUGUUUAUUCAUGCCAAACAUUCUAUAUAAAUGGAGAACUGAAUCAACGAAGAGUAAAUGAGCCAAGCAUUUAAGAUCAAUAUCUUACAUGCUCCACCGCCCUUCAUUGAUUCUCCACUCAAAAUUUUUUAAGUUUUGUUCUGUAUUAGCCAAUAAGUAACCAAUCACCUUGCAAUCUUUUGCAAGUGAUAUAAACUUGAAAAAUUCCGUACUUUCGUUUCUUGAAAGUUUGAUUUCUGACUCUACACAUUAUUUUCAAUACAUGUUGAAAUCACUUGCCAUAGUUUUAAGCCAAAGGUUGUUUAUCUGGAUCAAUACAAAUAACAAACUAACCUACUAACAAUGAUGGUAUAACAAUAUUCAGUGCAGAUAAUGGCCCAUAGGUUUUGUCAGCAUAAUCCCAAGUUACAUAUAUAGGUUAGCGAGAUAUGAAAAUAUAAUGAACACUUAGUCUCUCAUUACUCGUAUAUUAUAAAAGAACAUGUGUUAGUUCUUACGCCGGAGGAUGGUCACAGAGAGACCCCACUCUGUGUGAUGGGUCUAAUUGGUGUUGGUGUGUGCAGGGUUUAGUGAAAAGGAUCCUUUUAUUUGCCAUCAUAGAGGAAGGAUGUAUACGGUGCAUAUCGGGGAUGAGGUAUAUGGUGCAUGUCGCUGGGGAUUUCUUUACUCUAGAUUGACGUCACUUGUAAGACAAAACACAUAUUAUUGUUCUUUUGUUAGAUUUUAAUAGUUAUAUUGUAUUACCUCUCUGUUUGUAAAUAUUCAACACCAAUAUUGCUAUUGCAUGGUGUAUGUUAGGGAAAUUAGAGAUUUUCAACGGAUGAUCUGAGAGGCGUGUGCUUACUUUCAGGUCAAAUUAUUUUG
Molecule: long non-coding RNA, 1777 nt
Filed under: Helianthus annuus (common sunflower)
Lineage: Eukaryota; Viridiplantae; Streptophyta; Magnoliopsida; Asterales; Asteraceae
Description: hypothetical non coding rna
Source: RNAcentral